AUUGAACGCUGGCGGCAUGCCUUACACAUGCAAGUCGAACGGCAGCGUGGAAGAGCUUGCUCUUCUGAUGGCGAGUGGCGAACGGGUGAGUAAAGCAUCGGAACGUACCGUGUAAUGGGGGAUAACGUAGCGAAAGUUACGCUAAUACCGCAUACGACCUGAGGGUGAAAGCAGGGGAUCGCAAGACCUUGCGUUAUACGAGCGGCCGAUGUCAGAUUAGCUAGUUGGUGAGGUAAAGGCGCACCAAGCCGACGUGCUGUAGCGGGUCUGAGAGGAUGGUCCGCCACACUGGGACUGAGACACGGCCCAUACUCCUACGGGAGGCAGCAGUGGGGAAUUUUGGACAAUGGGGGCAACCCUGAUCCAGCCAUGCCGCGUGAGUGAAGAAGGCCUUCGGGUUGUAAAGCUCUUUCGGCCGGGAAGAAAUCGCACAGGCUAAUACUCUGUGUGGAUGACGGUACCGGCAUAAGAAGCACCGGCUAACUACGUGCCAGCCGCCGCAGUAA
RNAcentral lists this ribosomal RNA (506 nucleotides) under uncultured bacterium. RNAcentral describes it as "partial 16S ribosomal RNA". It matches the Rfam family "Bacterial small subunit ribosomal RNA", at positions 30 to 523 of the family's 1533-position model. The record is from RNAcentral.